CGGAGGUGCAAGCGUUGUCCGGAUUAUUGGUUAAGGGUGCGUAGGCGGUCCAUUAAGUCUGGGUGAAGCCCGUUGCUCAACAACGGAACUGCCCUGGAACUGGCGGACUUGAGUACAGACGAGGUGGCGGAAUGGAUGGUGUAGCGGUGAAAUGCAUAGAUACCAUCCAGAACCCCGAUUGCGAAGGCAGCUGCCUAGACUGUAACUGACGCUGAGGCACGAAAGCGUGGGAGCGAACAGGAUU
Molecule: ribosomal RNA, 244 nt
Filed under: uncultured bacterium
Lineage: Bacteria
Description: partial 16S ribosomal RNA
Rfam family: Bacterial small subunit ribosomal RNA
Source: RNAcentral